UAUUCCCCACUGCUGCCUCCCGUAGGAGUCUGGGCCGUGUCUCAGUCCCAAUGUGGCCGUUCAACCUCUCAGUCCGGCUACCGAUCGUCGCCUUGGUGGGCCGUUACCCCGCCAACAAGCUAAUCGGACGCGAGUCCAUCUCUAAGCGAUAAAUCUUUGAUAUCAAAGUCAUGCGGCUUCAAUAUGUUAUGCGGUAUUAGCGAUCUUUUCAGAACGUUAUUCCCCUCUUAGAGGCAGGUUACUCACGCGUUACUCACCCGUCCGCCACUAAACUAAAAAUCCAUCAUUCCGAAGAAAUCUGUCAAAAUAGUUCCGUUCGACUUGCAUGUGUUAGGCACGCCGCCAGCGUUCAUCCUGAGCCAAA
This 364-nucleotide ribosomal RNA is filed under the name uncultured rumen bacterium. RNAcentral's name for it is "partial 16S ribosomal RNA". The record is from RNAcentral.